GUAAUCCUGCAAAUGAGAGUAUUGUAUAAAUUGGGAAAGCAGCAUUUCUAGUAUACUUGGGGAAAAGCUCCUUAAAUAUACUACAACAACUUUGAAUUACAAUACAGUUUAAGAACAUGCAUACCCUGUAUUUGAGCAGCACCAAAUAUUUGGACGAGUUUACAUGUUUUUUCCGUUUAUAAUUUCCCCUGAUAUUGUUAAAGUCUUAAGUUUAGGAACUGCAGGGUUAUUCUCAUAGGUAGGAUAGAUAUGGCUAAGAUUUGACAGUUUCUGCAAGGACUCCUAACAGGUAUAUCUGUUAUUAACUAAUGUCUUUAACAACCCAGAUCUACUAUAUGGUAUUUCAAUAUAUUCAUAAUAAAAAUAUGGAUUUUAAAGAGGCCUUUUCAUGUUUUGAUAAAUUGACAAAAUUGAAAAAAAUUGUUUCAGAUUUCAAAUUUUUGUUUUUGUUACGAUAUAUGUGAGGAAAUAGUAAUACUGAACAUUCACCAUGCUCUAAAAUAUCCAUUAUAUGCAUCUUUUGACGAUUUGAAAACCUGAAAAUUAUAAAGCGUUGCAACACGAAACGAUUGAAGAAUUUGGAAAGUUUUGUUGUUGUUGUUAUAUUUUGGGAAACUACGAGGAUUGCUUACAUAAGUAAAAAAUACAUCAGCUCAUAGUAUGAGCACAGAAGGUCAAGUGGUCUAAGCAGAAGAAUUUUUACUCCAGGGGUCAGUGGUUCCAGCCCAGUUGAAGGUUACUUUUUUCCCUUUUUUAAUUGUAUUCUUGUUGUUUUUACUGGAGAUUUUUAGGUCCAAUGUUUAGAUUUAUCAAUAUAAAGCAUUUAAUGACAAGCUUCAAUACUUGCCAAAAUCUGUGAAAAGGCCCCUUUAAGAACAAAAUGUGUUAGAUAUCUGUGAAGUAUUUGUCUGGCACAUCGUUUUGAUAUUUUAUCAGAGUUAUUUUUUGUUGCAGUUUUUUGUUUAGUAAUUGGGUGUUUUAAUCAUCAUUAUUUGUUAUGUUUUCAACAUGAAGCCCCUCACAAUGUCUGUCCAAUGACCCCAACUCAAUAAAAGAACAAACAUAUAAGUAAACCUUACCCUGUGCUGGCCAGGCUUAGCUCCAUCAGGUUCUUCAACUCUGUCAACGACAACAGAGGCAUGAUCUACCGGUACAAGUAUGUUCACUUACAGCAGGUCUAUGCAUGAUCUACCGGUACAUGUAUGUUCACUUACAGCAGGUCUAUGCAUGAUCUACCUGUACAUGUAUGUUCACUUACAGCAGGUCUAUGCAUGAUCUACCUGUACAUGUAUGUUCACUUACAGCAGGUCUAUGCAUGAUCUACCUGUACAUGUAUGUUCACUUACAGCAGGUCUAUGCAUGAUCUACCUGUACAUGUAUGUUCACUUACAGCAGGUCUAUGCAUGAUCUACCGGUACAUGUAUGUUCACUUACAGCAGGUCUAUGCAUGAUCUACCUGUACAUGUAUGUUCACUUACAGCAGGUCUAUGCAUGAUCUACCUGUAAAUGUAUGUUUACUUACUGCAGGUCUAUCUUAACCACUUACAGCUCAGAUACACAUGCUGACACAUUUUUAAUCCUCCAGCAAAUUAUGUUUUAAAGGCUUCAUUUCCAGCCAUAAGAUAGUGAUGAGCAGUAAACAGCAUAAAACCUGAACUGACUUAAGUUACUCGGGGGUUUCUGGUUUUAUGAGUGUUGCAUAUAGCCCUGUUCACAGCAUGUGUCGUGUUUUAAGUACAGUUAGAAGUAUGAUUACGAUUUUUCAUGGAGUUAAAGGUACAAACAAAACAAGCGUACCGCAUAAUGGGUGCCACGCUCGGCUACGGGUGCAAUUU
Long non-coding RNA from Dreissena polymorpha, 1835 nucleotides. RefSeq lists it as uncharacterized. NCBI's taxonomy places the organism in Eukaryota, Metazoa, Mollusca, Bivalvia, Myida, Dreissenidae. The transcript is spliced from 3 exons. The record is from RefSeq and is a predicted model, not a curated record.